Molecule: long non-coding RNA, 3125 nt
Organism: Triticum aestivum (bread wheat)
Lineage: Eukaryota; Viridiplantae; Streptophyta; Magnoliopsida; Poales; Poaceae
Exons: 2
Source: RefSeq, a predicted model, not a curated record
UGCCCCGCCCCGCGCCAGUUAUCCAUCCACGCCUCCUCCUCAAUGCUCCUCCUCCUGCCCCGUGCCCCGCCUCUGUCAGCCCUCCGCCAUCGACGCCUCCUCCUCCCGCCCCCACGCCCUGCCACCGCUGGGGAGCGGGUGCCGCUGCUGCGCCCCGCUGGCCGUCCUCUCCCUCCUCGCCACCGCCGAAGAGUGGGCGCCACGCCACCGCUGGGGAGCGGGUGCCGCUGCUGCACCCCGCUGGCCCUCCUCUCUCCUCCCCACCAUCGCCGGAGAGCGGGCGCCGCCGCUGCGCCCCACCACCCUGGGGACAGGGUGAUGGAGCUCCCAAUACUAACCAACUAAAGAUUUUAACUGCUGCCCUUUGUAGAUUUUGAAAGAAGGAGAUACGCCAAACCAUGGGGAAGAGCAAGGCGUCCGCUAAGCCACCCCUAUGACGUAGAUGAACAAUCUCGACGCUGUCUUUUCCUGCCCAUUCUGCAAUCAUGGGAGCAGCAUUGAAUGCCGGAUUGAUAUGCACAACCUGAUUGGUGAGGCUACUUGUCAAAUCUGCCAGGAAAGCUUUAGCAUCACUGCAAAUGGUACAGAUACAUAGAACUGUAGAUUGUACAUAGUCAUGCCGCUCCUUUAUUUUCCUGUUUUUAGUCCGUGAAGCUCUCUUUGUUGAGGGUGAAGAGAUACAUUGGCAAUUCAUCCUCGUGGUUUAUCGGAAAGAAAAGCGUCUGUAAGAACAGUACUGAAUAAUAUCUGCACCAUGCAUCUCAAGAAAAUAAAGAAUCUUAGUCAAAACAGGAAACUAUUGCUUGUCCGAUUUGCAGUCCAAGUUAUACAUAGAACUGUAGAUUGUACCUUCGUCAGACCGCCGUCCUCACCCCAUCAUCGUGCACCCCCGCCUGUCUGCUCACGCAUUCACAUUGAGGAAGAUGAUGAGAACCUCGGCCACGCCGCCAUCCUCUCCCCGUCAUCAUCCCUUUGCAGCUUUUCCUGUCCCGACCGCUGGAGCUUCUCGCCGCAGGGCACAAGCACCUUGCAAUCGCGGUGUGCUUCUCCCCUAGUGCUGUCAUAUAGACAUCUUGCAAGUAAGUGACCGUCAAUCCAACUGUUGUCUUUCUCUGCACUAGAUUUUAGUUGCUUUCUUACUUUGUCUUGAAGAAACAUCAUUUUUAAGUGUAAUUUAUUAUAGCUCACAAUCAUAGAUUACUGUAAUGCAUAAUUACUUUGCAUGUGUCAGCCAUUCUGAAUAGGGAACAUUCUUACGGGACAUCAUGUUCACUUGGCAUACUUACUGGAUUGAGGAAGAAAUUUUGAAAUGUUUCUCAAACCAGAGUGUUUUAUUAGUUGUGGGCUUUGGGUAGUUCAGCAUGUUCGUCUGAGCUUAAUUCAGAAGCUUGCUUUGUAAUUAUAUUAAAAAUCAUUUUGUAAAAUGAUCUAUAAAAGUUGAACUUCUCACCAAAAUUAUAUCCCUGAAGUUAAAUCAAGUGAAAAAUUAGUGUCCUGCAGUGCAGUUACUUGCAGCUUGGACCGAUCUGAUGAAAAAAUUGUUCUGUUGAAAAUCUGGCAGAUAGUUUUUCUGCUGGCAAUAUAAUUCACUUGAUUGGAUGUGCUUGUUUUGGAUGAAAUGAUAGAAUCGGUGUUGUACUGUUGUUCUUGAUUUUCUCACUUAUUUAGUAGUGUUGGACGGGCAUUCUAUUCAUCUUUUAAGACCACUUUGGAGAUGGUACGUGAUUGAAAAGGUCGGACUUUCCUGGUAGCAAGAGUAUCUUAUAUGACCAUGAAAAUCUGAUAUGCUAUUGUUCCUAUAGAUUCAAUAACUCAGAUUAAGUAACAUGAUAGAUUUCAUCAUGCCUCACUAUGAAAUCUUGUUUGGUUGCAGUGCAAAGGUCAAUUGAGAAUUUGAGAUCCUUUGUGUACAACUGUAGAUGCUUGCUUGUCGACUGCCUAGAGACUUUGGUUCUGAAAAAAUUUGUGCUGGAUCGCAGGAUGUCGCUGAUAUAUGGUCGUUUUUGUUUAGAAAAAAAGUCGUGUUGUGUUACUGAUUAGGAUAGUAGUAGAUGUCAAUCUCACAAGAGGAUCUGUUCACAUGGUUUCUGAAACUACAUAGCAUUUUAUUAGUUAUGGGUUGGGGCAGUCUUUGUGUUUUCCUCGCAAGAAAAUAUAAACGCUUAAUGUCUCGAUGCAUUUGAAAAAGAGAAUGGCAAAACAAAACAUAUAGUUUACUUAAGGGUUACAUGAGUGCCUCUGAAUUUUAAAAAAUGGCAGCAAUAGUUUCAUGUUUUGACUAAGAUUCUUUAUUUUCUUGAGAUGCAUGAUGCAAGUAUUAUUCAGUACUGUUCUUACUGACGUCUUUUUUUCUGAUAAACCACGAGGAUGAAUUGACAACAUAUCUCUUCACCCUCCAGAAAGAGAGCUUCACAGAGGCCCUCCUGAUGUGGGAGAUCAUAAGAGCCUAGAAAUGCGAAUGAGCCUGGAAGGAUUAUUUCGUUGGUGUUGAGAGCGAAAUAUUUUGUGUUGGAAAGUUAGCUGUGGACCCUGUGUCAGAGCUUUGGGAUCAUUAUCCUGCCGGUGCAAUGGUCAUGCAUCAAGCAUACACGUUUUACUUUUAAUACACGACAUUUUUAGGUGCAUAACAUAGAUUUUAUCCUGUAAAGUAGUGUGAGCUAUUUCAUAUGCUCGAGUGUGAAUUAAUUGCAUGGGAUGCCACUUCUGCUGGUUGGGACGCUGAUGGCGUGUGUGCUUGUUGCCGCUGCUCGCAUGUGGAUGAGUAGUAUAGUGCAAAACUGGAUUAGCUUGGGACAUAUGUGCUUCAAUACAUUUUUUCUUUUGGGCUUUAAUAUUCUACUAAAUUUCUGAUGGAUAAAACAUUUAUUCCUUGUUUUCUUACCGUCUAAUGUGUUUGGCACUUUUUGUUUCAGAUUUUCCCCUCUUCUUUAUGCAGCAGGUACAAGGUCUCAACAUGUUGAAGGCUACUUCCAGACUUCCAGUUCUUCCAUUUUCAUUUUCAUCUUACUGUUUUUAAUGCAUUUUUCUACAGUAUAAGGACUUGAGGUGAUUUGUGGAUUGUAGGGCAUGGAUCUUCACAGUGAUGUUAGCUCUAUACUGAAUGUAUCAAAACAUUGUUAUGGUUA